UCCUAGUUAAUAGAAGUAGCUCGAGAAGUUUCUAAAACCUUCUAGAAAGGAAGUCUCUGGAACCUUCUAGAAGCUUCCUAGUUAAUAAAAAUAGCUCGAGAAGCUUCCUAAGUAGGCGUAUAUAUAGGGAACGCGGCUGAAGAGUUCUUCAGUCUCGACAACACAUCUCUUGGAGUUCUAGCUCACCUAUCUGGUGUUGUUCUUGUACUCAUCUGUUUAAUCUAGUUCUGCCACUUCUUCUUGAACUUCUUGUUAGAUUUCAAGUCUGUAUUUUGUGUCCGUGACAGUUUGUCGAGACUGAAGAACUCUUCAGCCUCGAUCCCUAUAUAUACUCCUACUUAGGAAGCUUCUCGAGCUACUUCUAUUAACUAGGAAGCUUCUAGAAGGUUCCAGAGACUUCCUUUCUAGAAGGUUCUAGAAACUUCUCGAGCUACUUCUAUUAACUACGAAGCUUCUAGAAAGUUCCAGAGGAUUCCUUUUUAGAAGCUUCUAGAAACUUCUCUUCUGGAAGGUUCCAGAGACUUCUUUUCUAGAAGCUUCUAGAAACUUCUCUCUAAAAGGUUCCAGAGGCUUCUCUUCUAAAAGGUUCUAGAAGCUUGUUUUCUAAAAGGUUCUAGAAACUUCUCUCUAGAAAGUUCUAAGGAAUAUGUUCCUAACAGAAAGAGUUUUGCAACUUAUAGAAUUUUUAGAUUUAAGAAGUGAUGAUUAGGA
Molecule: long non-coding RNA, 711 nt
Filed under: Physcomitrium patens
Lineage: Eukaryota; Viridiplantae; Streptophyta; Bryopsida; Funariales; Funariaceae
Description: long non-coding RNA (PPAT_LNC004084)
Source: RNAcentral